CUCAGACCGGGACUAGCCUUCCCAUGCACAUUGUCGUACAUUGUGACUCCGUGUUCUUGUUGGUUAAGGUUCUAAAUACAAAACUGGCACUUAUGGGUGAAGAAGGGAAAGGAGACGAAGACAAAGUCAGGGAGUCAAAAUGCCUGUGGCAGAACAGUGGCAGCUCUUAGGAUGGCUGUGACACAGGAUGAGUCAAGGAAACACGGGAAGGAAAUCUGCCUGGAAGUCAAAAACUCAGCUGCUGAAAUUGGAACCACCCCUGGAGAUAGCGCUUGUCUCCUUAGAGACAAGCAAGGGUGCUAAAAACAGGAAGUGGUGUUUGCUUAGGACCAGGAGGGGCUGGCACUUGCUUAGGACGCGGAGGGACUGCAGUUUACCUGCAUAGCCACUCCUGUCUUACCCCCAAACCCAAAAGAUGGUCCUCAUGAAACCUUGGCAAUUUCAUUUAAUAAAGGAAAUCCUUUAAAAAAAAAAAAAGA
This 479-nucleotide long non-coding RNA is filed under the name Mus caroli (Ryukyu mouse). Its description in RNAcentral is "lncRNA (MGP_CAROLIEiJ_G0002854.1)". The record is from RNAcentral. Lineage: Eukaryota; Metazoa; Chordata; Mammalia; Rodentia; Muridae.